UUAAUUUGACUUUUUUUAUAUUUUUUAUUUUUUUCUUUAUGCUGUCAAUUUUUGCAAUGUUUUUUUGUUUUUCAAUUUAAGCCAAAAUUUAUGAAUAUGGUGUGAUUAUAUGGAAAAGUUUAAAAAUGUGUAUGAUAAGCAAAAAACGUUAAAUAUGAAAUUUUCGUGUUUCUGCCUGGGGUGAAGUCGUUAAAAAUUCAUUUCUUAGCCAAUUUUCAACCGAUUUUCUUGAAAAAUUUCAAGUACAUGCCUAAAAUCAAAUUGGAAAGGAUAAUAAUUGAAAAUUGACGACGCAAGAAUGAUUGCAAUGAGAGCACCGUGAAAUAUUAUCUUCCCUCAAAACGAAAAAAAAAAAAACGACUCGCCAUU
Molecule: long non-coding RNA, 369 nt
Organism: Episyrphus balteatus (marmalade hoverfly)
Lineage: Eukaryota; Metazoa; Arthropoda; Insecta; Diptera; Syrphidae
Exons: 2
Source: RefSeq, a predicted model, not a curated record